CGGAAAGUUUUGCUGAUGGUAGAUUACUACCCGGAGGGGGGUGGAGGAAGAGUGACCUGGAGGUGAUGGUGGAGGUGGAGGCAGACAAAUUGAGCAAGAGCAUCAGAAAAGCACAAUGUCGAUAUUGUAAUACCUGAUUCACCACCAUGGUCUUCCCUGUUUUGUGAGUAGAUGUGAUGGCAGAUGCAGGGAUGAGUCAUUGGCUGCAAUCAGACACGGAUGCAGCAGUUUGUCACUGUAGGAGCUUCAUGCCUGGGAUGGGAGACAUUGUCCAACAGUGAUGUUAUUUUUGCUAGAGUCCCUCCCACCACCUGCACUGCAUCAAGGGGGAAUCCCAGGACACUGCUGGCCUUCCUGAAGAGCUUUUCUAACCACUUGCUCUCAGCUCUAGAUAAGCAGAUGCCUCAUCAAACUACACCAUAGAAGAUGGCUGAUGCCACCACAGAGUCAAAAAAGGAGAUGGAUUCGCUGGCACCUCUCCAUAAAGCCAUCUGUCCAGAGACAACUUUUGCAGAUGGUAACCUGGGGAGUUAAUGGAAAACUCUGCAGUGUAGAGGGUGAAGAGUAAAUGAUAUUAAAA
Girardinichthys multiradiatus is the source of this 580-nucleotide long non-coding RNA. RefSeq lists it as uncharacterized. The transcript has 4 exons. The record is from RefSeq and is a predicted model, not a curated record. NCBI's taxonomy places the organism in Eukaryota, Metazoa, Chordata, Actinopteri, Cyprinodontiformes, Goodeidae.